AUGGCUUUGAUUGGAGCUGAAGUGCAAAAAAUCCAAAAUUAUUGGGAGGGGGUUCAAAAAAACCCCAGGACAGAGUUCCUGGAGGAAAAGGUGGGAGAGGGUGAGGGGGAAACCUCGGGGGAGGCCAGGAGGGGCUCAGGUUUUGCCUCUGGAAAAGGAAUUUUGCCUCUAAGGAGGAGAUUUUGCCUCUGGAGAGGAGAUUUUCCCUGUAGGGGGAAGAUUUUUGCCUCUGGGGAGAUUUUGCCUCUGGGAAGGGAAUUUUGCCUCUGGGGUGGAGAUUUUGCUUCUGGGGAGAUUUUUUGCCUCUGGGGAGGAGAUUUUUUUGUUUCCUACCCAAAACCCACCUUUCCCAAAAAGAAGAGAACCCCGGAUGGCUCCAGCAGAGGGAUGUGGGUGGCAGAAGAGGAAACCCUUCCCCAAGGCUUAAUUAGGCCAUUCAUUAAUUAGAGCUGCAUAUAAAUGAGUAAAGGGCGGGGCUGAGCUCACCCCUAUUUGUGAAUGAACCCCCCAAGUGACCAAACCCCUCCCCGCUGUCACCCCCUUGUGUCACCUGGGGGGGGGGGGGGGGGGGGGGGGGGGCGUCCCACCUUUGGGGUCCCCAGGCAGGUACCGGGGGGGAGAGGCUGACGGGAGGGACCCCAAAGGUUCAGGAGGGACCCCAGCCCCGGCCCCCCCUCACCAGAGGCCGAAGGCGCCCCCGUUUCCCCCCGGGACGCGCCCCUUGCGCGGGGGCAGCAGGACGGCGGCUCCGGGCGGCACCGGCACCGGGGCGGCAACCGGGGGGCACCCGGCGGGCGGCGGCUGCAAGGAAACAGCGACGGGUCACUGUCGCGAUAGCGGAUGGGUCACUGUCGUGACAGGGAACGGGGUCAUUGUCGCGAUGGGCGGGGUCACUGUCGCGAUAGGGGAGGGGUCACUGUAGCGAUAGCGGAUGGGUCACUGUCGCAAUAGGGGAGGGGUCAUUGUCAUGAUUAGGGGAUGGGUCACUGUCACCACAGGGGACAGGUCACUGUCGUGACAUGGAGACGGGUCACUGUCAUGACAUGGGAUGGGUCACUGUUGUGAUAGGGGACCGAUCACUGUCAUGAUAGUAGACAGGUCACUGUCACGACAUUGGGACAGGUCACUGUCAUGACAGGGUGACAGCCAAGGUCACUGUCACAACAGGGGACAGGUCACUGUCGUGACAGGGGAUGGGUCACUGUCGCUAUAGGGGAGGGGUCACUGUCAUGACAGGGGGACAGCCAAGGUCAGCAUCGCGACAAGAGCAGGGACAGGGCUGUGUGACAGGAGGGACACGAGGCCACUGUCACUAUAGGGGACAGCCGAGGCCGGUGUCACACCCAGGGCGGGCUCUGGGCACACAGCGAUGUCCCCAACCCCGCUGAGGGGACAGUGACAGGGCUGGGACACAGCCCUGAGCCACCCCUGAGGGCUGUGACACCUG
RNAcentral lists this long non-coding RNA (1447 nucleotides) under Junco hyemalis (dark-eyed junco). Its description in RNAcentral is "lncRNA (ENSJHYG00000004123.1)". The record is from RNAcentral. Lineage: Eukaryota; Metazoa; Chordata; Aves; Passeriformes; Passerellidae.